Molecule: long non-coding RNA, 560 nt
Organism: Pseudophryne corroboree (corroboree frog)
Lineage: Eukaryota; Metazoa; Chordata; Amphibia; Anura; Myobatrachidae
Exons: 2
Source: RefSeq, a predicted model, not a curated record
CCUAGCCAGCGACUGCGAAUUCGUUGGCAGCUGGAGAGGCCUCUGCAUUUUAGGAGAGGCGUUCCGUCUCUGACAGCAUAGGGUUGCUCAGAGGUUCAAAGGUGCAACUGAUGCACCAGAUGCUUCCGCCUAUGUAUGUGUGCGCCGGAUGCAAGACGUCGGCGGUGCCCAUCUCUUUGCACAUGACGGCAGCUGGGCCAUUAGCCUAUUUUCGGAAGCACACUGCAAAUGAAGUCACAGCUGUGCACCUCUAUCAGGCCCUAUGUGCCCUCUUCAUAACAUCAUCUCACAACAAAGGCCAUGACUGGUAUUAUAGGGUGAAAACUCCAUAAUGCUUGCCACUGGACUUGUCACCGCACACUACACAAUCCACCUGAAUUCCAGGCCGUUCCUCGUCACCCUGCUCCGGGUCGCUCAUGCCUCCAGGAGGUGAAGCCUCAUCCUCCUCUGAGUUUCUGGGGUAGCCCUUCCCCAUCCCGUUAGUGUCACCGUUGGGAUCUCCCCAGCCCCCAGACACCAUGGCCAUAACAGCACCCAAGUCAAUAAAAUGUAUGAAAUGA